GAUGAACGCUAGCUACAGGCUUAACACAUGCGAGUCGAGGGGAAACGCUGAGAGAGCUUGCUCUCUUAGGCGUCGACCGGCGCACGGGUGAGUAACGCGUAUCCAACCUACCCAUUACAGGGGGAUAACCUUGCGAAAGUAAGACUAAUACCCCAUGGCAUUUUAUGGUGGCAUCAUUAUAGGAUUAAAGAUUUAUUGGUAAUGGAUGGGGAUGCGUCUGAUUAGCUUGUUGGCGGGGUAACGGCCCACCAAGGCAACGAUCAGUAGGGGUUCUGAGAGGAAGGUCCCCCACAUUGGAACUGAGACACGGUCCAAACUCCUACGGGAGGCAGCAGUGAGGAAUAUUGGUCAAUGGGCGAGAGCUUGAACCAGCCAAGUAGCGUGCAGGAUGGCGGCCCUAUGGGUUGUAAACUGCUUUUAUAGGGGAAUAAAGUGAGCUACGUGUAGUUUAUUGCAUGUACCCUAUGAAUAAGGACCGGCUAAUUCCGUG
Molecule: ribosomal RNA, 490 nt
Filed under: uncultured bacterium
Lineage: Bacteria
Description: partial 16S ribosomal RNA
Rfam family: Bacterial small subunit ribosomal RNA
Source: RNAcentral